This 435-nucleotide ribosomal RNA is filed under the name uncultured bacterium. RNAcentral describes it as "bacterial SSU rRNA". It matches the Rfam family "Bacterial small subunit ribosomal RNA", at positions 29 to 506 of the family's 1533-position model. The record is from RNAcentral.
ACGAACGCUGGCGGCAGGCUUAACACAUGCAAGUCGAGCGGGCCUCUUUCGGGGGGUCAGCGGCGGACGGGUGAGUAUCGCGUGGGAACGUGCCUUCUGCUCUGGGAUAGCUCUGGGAAACCGGGGGUAAUACCGGAUGUGCCCUGAGGGGGAAAGGUUUACUGGCAGGAGAGCGGCCCGCGUCCGAUUAGGUAGUUGGUGGGGUAAAGGCCCACCAAGCCGACGAUCGGUAGCUGGUUUGAGAGGAUGAUCAGCCACACUGGGACUGAGACACGGCCCAGACUCCUACGGGAGGCAGCAGUGGGGAAUCUUAGACAAUGGGGGCAACCCUGAUCUAGCCAUGCCGCGUGGGUGAUGAAGGCCUUCGGGUCGUAAAGCCCUUUCGCCGGGGAAGAUAAUGACGGUACCCGGUAAAGAAGCCCCGGCUAACUCCGU